This 70-nucleotide transfer RNA is filed under the name Lyssa zampa. RNAcentral describes it as "tRNA-Asp". The record is from RNAcentral. Lineage: Eukaryota; Metazoa; Arthropoda; Insecta; Lepidoptera; Uraniidae.
AAAGAAUUAGUUAAAAAAUAACAUAAAUAUGUCAAUUUUAAAUUAUUAUAUAUAUAUAUAAUAUUCUUUU